This 292-nucleotide ribosomal RNA is filed under the name uncultured bacterium. RNAcentral's name for it is "partial 16S ribosomal RNA". It matches the Rfam family "Bacterial small subunit ribosomal RNA", at positions 505 to 796 of the family's 1533-position model. The record is from RNAcentral.
GUGUCAGCAGCCGCGGUAAUACAGAGGGUGCAAGCGUUGUUCGGAAUUACUGGGCGUAAAGCGCGUGUAGGCGGCUUUUUAAGUCGGACGUGAAAUCCCUGGGCUUAACCCAGGAACUGCGUCCGAUACUAUCAGGCUAGAGUGUCGGAGGGGGUGGCGGAAUUCCCGGUGUAGAGGUGAAAUUCGUAGAUAUCGGGAGGAACACCUGUGGCGAAGGCGGCCACCUGGAAGACAACUGACGCUGAGACGCGAAAGCGUGGGGAGCAAACAGGAUUAGAAACCCCCGUAGUCC